UGGGGAAUAUUGGACAAUGGGCGCAAGCCUGAUCCAGCCAUGCCGCGUGAGUGAUGAAGGCCCUAGGGUUGUAAAGCUCUUUCACCGGUGAAGAUAAUGACGGUAACCGGAGAAGAAGCCCCGGCUAACUUCGUGCCAGCAGCCGCGGUAAUACGAAGGGGGCUAGCGUUGUUCGGAUUUACUGGGCGUAAAGCGCACGUAGGCGGACUUUUAAGUCAGGGGUGAAAUCCCGGGGCUCAACCCCGGAACUGCCUUUGAUACUGGAAGUCUUGAGUAUGGUAGAGGUGAGUGGAAUUCCGAGUGUAGAGGUGAAAUUCGUAGAUAUUCGGAGGAACACCAGUGGCGAAGGCGGCUCACUGGACCAUUUCUGACGCUGAGGUGCGAAAGCGUGGGGAGCAAACAGG
Molecule: ribosomal RNA, 404 nt
Filed under: Actinomycetes bacterium
Lineage: Bacteria; Bacillati; Actinomycetota; Actinomycetes
Description: Actinobacteria bacterium partial 16S ribosomal RNA
Rfam family: Bacterial small subunit ribosomal RNA
Source: RNAcentral